This 434-nucleotide ribosomal RNA is filed under the name uncultured Lachnospiraceae bacterium. RNAcentral describes it as "bacterial SSU rRNA". It matches the Rfam family "Bacterial small subunit ribosomal RNA", at positions 341 to 792 of the family's 1533-position model. The record is from RNAcentral. Lineage: Bacteria; Bacillati; Bacillota; Clostridia; Lachnospirales; Lachnospiraceae.
ACGGAAGGCAGCAGUGGGGAAUAUUGCGCAAUGGGGGAAACCCUGACGCAGCAACGCCGCGUGAGUGAAGAAGUAUUUCGGUAUGUAAAGCUCUAUCAGCAGGGAAGAUAAUGACGGUACCUGCAGAAGAAGUCCCGGCUAACUACGUGCCAGCAGCCGCGGUAAUACGUAGGGGACAAGCGUUAUCCGGAUUUACUGGGUGUAAAGGGUGCGUAGGCGGUUUUUCAAGUCAGAAGUGAAAGCCCGGAGCUCAACUCCGGGACUGCUUUUGAAACUGAGAGACUUGAGUACUGGAGGGGCAAGCGGAAUUCCUGGUGUAGCGGUGAAAUGCGUAGAUAUCAGGAAGAACACCGGUGGCGAAGGCGGCUUGCUGGACAGAAACUGACGCUGAGGCACGAAGGCGUGGGGAGCAAACAGGAUUAGAUACCCUGGUA